RNAcentral lists this long non-coding RNA (355 nucleotides) under Gossypium raimondii (Peruvian cotton). Its description in RNAcentral is "long non-coding RNA (GRAI_LNC008031)". Lineage: Eukaryota; Viridiplantae; Streptophyta; Magnoliopsida; Malvales; Malvaceae. The record is from RNAcentral.
CCAUUCCCAUAGUUGAUAGUGCUAAGCCUAAGGCAAUUCUCUGUAGGCUGCUGAAACCUGUAGCACCAGAAAGAAUUGAAAUGGUAAUUAUAUUGAAAUAAAUUAUAGCAUGAUUUAGUAUGUCAUUUAUUAUUUUCCUAAUACAUACAUACCUGGUUUUCCUUUCCAUUUCUUCCAUAAUGGCAUAACGAGACGGUCAUAAACAGCCAGAGUGAUCAAUAUAGCUGCCACAAAGAAGACAGUGAGGGAACCUGCAGGAAUUUGGAAACCUCCAACUGAUCUUUCCAUGGUGGAGGCUUGCUCCACUGAAAAGGUCAUCAUUUGUGCGUAAGUGGUCCAAAAUAAGAUGGUUGUG